RNAcentral lists this long non-coding RNA (326 nucleotides) under Micromonas commoda. RNAcentral describes it as "long non-coding RNA (MCOM_LNC000273)". The record is from RNAcentral. Lineage: Eukaryota; Viridiplantae; Chlorophyta; Mamiellophyceae; Mamiellales; Mamiellaceae.
GCAGGCCACCUACAUGUCCGCGGGCCUCGAGCCCGCCGACGCCGAGGUGGCGGCGCUCACCCCGGAGGAGAAGCAGCAACUCGUGGACGACGUCCGAGCCGCGCUCUACGCGAGCAAGAUUUGCUCCUACGCCCAGGGCAUGAACCUGAUCAGGGCCAAGUCCAACGAGCAGGGUUGGAACCUGGACCUCGGCGAGAUGGCCAGGAUCUGGAAGGGCGGCUGCAUCAUCCGCGCGCGCUUCCUCGACCGCAUCAAGAAGGCUUACGACCGCGACGCCGACCUCCCGUCGCUGCUCGUCGACGGCGAGUUUGCCAAGGAGCUCGUGG